CCUACGGGAGGCAGCAGUGAGGAAUAUUGGUCAAUGGGCGCGAGCCUGAACCAGCCAAGUAGCGUGAAGGAUGACUGCCCUAUGGGUUGUACACUUCUUUUAUAAAGGAAUAAAGUGAGGCACGUGUGCCUUUUUGUAUGUACUUUAUGAAUAAGAAUCGGCUAACUCCGUGCCAGCAGCCGCGGUAAUACGGAGGAUCCGAGCGUUAUCCGGAUUUAUUGGGUUUAAAGGGAGCGUAGGUGGGUUGUUAAGUCAGGGGUGAAAGUUUGCGGCUCAACCGUAACAUUGCCGUUGAUACUGGCAGUCUUGAGGAGACUUGAGGUAGGCGGAAUUCGUGGUGUAGCGGUGAAAUGCUUAGAUAUCACGAAGAACUCCGAUUGCGAAGGCAGCAUACUAAGCUGCCACUGACACUGAGGCACGAAAGUGUGGGUAUCGAACAGGAUUAGAUACCCCUGUAGUC
RNAcentral lists this ribosomal RNA (460 nucleotides) under uncultured bacterium. RNAcentral describes it as "partial 16S ribosomal RNA". It matches the Rfam family "Bacterial small subunit ribosomal RNA", at positions 338 to 795 of the family's 1533-position model. The record is from RNAcentral.